UUGGAGAAGUUAAGUCACAUACAUUAUUGUGAUCCCGUGGUAUUAUAAUAGGCAACAGAACGAAGUCUUGACCUCAGAUCUGUAACAUCAUCCUCCUGGCAUCAAGCCUGCAUCUAAUCCUGUUCUAUCAACCACAAAAGCUCUGGGGUGAGCAGGGUUGGGGUGCUGAGUCCACAACCACAUGAGAUGAAGAUUCUGAGGGACAGGACUUGCUCAGGACCUUUCAGCAAGCAAACCGCAGACAAGGCUCAAAGAAUUAAAGCACGAAUGGGGCCUCCUGAACUUGCUGCUGCACCCCCACCCCUCGACCACCUAUGUGGAUUCAGCAGAGCAUUUAUGUUUAUUCAGAUGGACCACAUUCUCUGCCUCCCUGUCCUCAUCUGUGUUGUCUGGACCAUGGUUGGCAUCUGACCCAAACUCAAAAUCUGAA
This is a long non-coding RNA of Cervus elaphus (red deer), 430 nucleotides long. RefSeq lists it as uncharacterized. The record is from RefSeq and is a predicted model, not a curated record. NCBI's taxonomy places the organism in Eukaryota, Metazoa, Chordata, Mammalia, Artiodactyla, Cervidae. The transcript has 3 exons.